AAAGAGCGCGUAGGCGGCCUGGCAAGUCUGGUGUGAAAUCUCACAGCUCAACUGUGAAACUGCAUCGGAAACUGCUUGGCUAGAGUGCGGGAGAGGAGAGUGGAAUUCCCAGUGUAGAGGUGAAAUUCGUAGAUACUGGGAGGAACACCGGUGGCGAAGGCGGCUCUCUGGACCGCAACUGACGCUGAGGCGCGAAAGCUAGGGGAGCAAACGGGAUUAGAUACCCCGGUAGUCCUAGCCGUAAACGAUGGGCACUAGGUGUAGGGGGUAUUGACCCCUUCUGUGCCGCAGCUAACGCAUUAAGUGCCCCGCCUGGGGAGUACGGUCGCAAGACUAAAACUCAAAGGAAUUGACGGGGGCCCGCACAAGCGGUGGAGCAUGUGGUUUAAUUCGACGCAACGCGAAGAACCUUACCUGGGUUUAACAUCCUGCGACGACAACAGAGAUGUUGUUUUCCUUCGGGACGCAGUGACAGGUGCUGCAUGGCUGUCGUCAGCUCGUGUCGUGAGAUGUUGGGUUAAGUCCCGCAACGAGCGCAACCCAUGCCCUUAGUUGCCAGCGAGUAAUGUCGGGAACUCUAGGGGAACUGCCGGUGAUAAACCGGAGGAAGGUGUGGAUGACGUCAAGUCCUCAUGGCCUUUAUAUCCAGGGCUACACACGUGCUACAAUGGCCGAUACAAAGGGUCGCAAUCCCGCGAGGGGGAGCCAAUCCCAAAAAGUCGGUCUCAGUUCGGAUUGCAGGCUGCAAUUCGCCUGCAUGAAGGUGGAAUCGCUAGUAAUCCCGGAUCAGCAUGCCGGGGUGAAUACGUUCCCGGGCCUUGUACACACCGCCCGUCACACCACGAAAGCCAGUUGUACCAGAAGUCGCUGGGCCAACCCGCAAGGGAGGUAGGUGCCGAAGGUAUGGCCGGUGAUUGGGGUGAAGUCGUAACAAGGU
RNAcentral lists this ribosomal RNA (937 nucleotides) under uncultured bacterium. RNAcentral describes it as "bacterial SSU rRNA". It matches the Rfam family "Bacterial small subunit ribosomal RNA", at positions 562 to 1497 of the family's 1533-position model. The record is from RNAcentral.